UUAACACUGGCGGCGUGCCUAACACAUGCAAGUCGCACGAGAAAGGGACUUCGGUCCUGAGUACAGUGGCGCACGGGUGAGUAACACGUGAAUUAUCUACCUCCGAGUGGGGAAUAACUGAGAGAAAUCUUAGCUAAUACCGCAUAACACUUACGAGUCAAAGCAGCAAUGCGCUUGGAGAGGAGUUCGCGGCAGAUUAGUUAGUUGGCGGGGUAAUGGCCCACCAAGACGAUGAUCUGUAUCCGGCCUGAGAGGGCGCACGGACACACUGGAACUGAAACACGGUCCAGACUCCUACGGGAGGCAGCAGUGGGGAAUUUUGCGCAAUGGGGGAAACCCUGACGCAGCAACGCCGCGUGGAGGAUGAAAUCCCUUGGGAUGUAAACUCCUUUCGAUAGGGAAGAUAAUGACGGUACCUAUAGAAGAAGCCCCGGCUAACUUCGUGCCAGCAGCCGCGGUAAUACGAGGGGGGCAAGCGUUGUUCGGAAUUAUUGGGCGUAAAGGGUGCGUAGGCGGUUUGACAAGUCUUAUGUGAAAUCUUCGGGCUCAACCCGAAGUCUGCAUGGGAAACUGUCGGGCUUGAGUAUGGGAGAAGUGAGUGGAAUUUCCGGUGUAGCGGUGAAAUGCCUAGAUAUCGGAAAGGAACACCUGUGGCGAAAGCCGCUUCACUGGGACCAUAACUGGACGCUG
This 690-nucleotide ribosomal RNA is filed under the name uncultured bacterium. RNAcentral's name for it is "bacterial SSU rRNA". It matches the Rfam family "Bacterial small subunit ribosomal RNA", at positions 30 to 748 of the family's 1533-position model. The record is from RNAcentral.